GAUGAACGCUGGCGGCGUGCCUAAUACAUGCAAGUCGAGCGAACAGACGAGGAGCUUGCUCCUCUGACGUUAGCGGCGGACGGGUGAGUAACACGUGGAUAACCUACCUAUAAGACGGGGAUAACUUCGGGAAACCGGAGCUAAUACCGUAGAAGAUAUUGAACCGCAUGGUUCAAUAGUGAAAGACGGUUUUGCUGUCACGUAUAGAUGGAUCCGCGCCGCAUUAGCUAGUUGGUAAGGUAACGGCUUACCAAGGCAACCAUGCGUAGCCGACCUGAGAGGGUGAUCGGCCACACGGGAGCUGAGCCGCGGUCCAGGCUCCUACGGGAGGCAGCAGUAGGCAAUGUUACGCAAUGGGGGAAAGCCUGACGGAGCGACGCCGCGUGAGUGAUGACGGUCUUCGGAUCGUAAAACUCUGUUAUUAGGGAAGAACAAAUGUGUAAGUAACUAUGCACGUCUUGACGGUAACUAAUCAGAAAGCCACGGCUAACUACGUG
RNAcentral lists this ribosomal RNA (497 nucleotides) under uncultured bacterium. RNAcentral describes it as "partial 16S ribosomal RNA". It matches the Rfam family "Bacterial small subunit ribosomal RNA", at positions 28 to 507 of the family's 1533-position model. The record is from RNAcentral.